GUGUGUUAAUGAGCUAUCUCUUGAAUUUGUCCAUUGAUCGUGUCUCAGAAAUAUUUUCUCAUUGUUUCAUCACACUGAAACUUUGGCCAAGAAAUGUUUAAAAUUCAAAGCAUUGAUAUCAAUUUCCCCCCCCUUUUUUUUUAAAGGCAACUUACAAGAUUAAAAUUAAAUUUGGUUGAUGAUGGUUCUGGACAAAUACAGCUCUUUUAUUUGAGGUAUGCCAUUUUGAAGACAGACCCGUGGAAUUUUAUCCUUGAGGAUAGGGGAAAUCUUUGUGAAAGUCUGUAUUUUAUAAAGCAAAAAGAAUAUAUCACUAAAGGUUGUCAGUGCAACAUAAAUUGUAUACUCAUUAUCUUGAGAAAGGGAUGAGAAAAAGCCCAUCAAAUUCUUUACCUUACAUCAAAGCAGUUUUGUGUUAAAACAUUAAAACAGUUGAUACAUGUAAUUUGUAACAGAGCGAUGAGACAUUUGAUGUUUUUCAAUCAAAUGGUGCUUUAGGGUUAUGGUUAAAUCAAUAGUUGAGUCAUCAGAAUUAUGUAUCUUUACAAUCUGAAAUGUACAUUCUGUAGACAUUUUUUUGUGAUGCAGAUUACAAAUGACCUAGAAUUUUGUAGUUGCAGCUCUUAUGAUUCUAAGGAACUAUAUUUCAAAAGCUAAAUACACUUUCAUAUUCUAGUUAUUAUGUAGUGAAUUUAAAAUUCUGAUUUUUUUUCUGUUUUUAUGAGUUCGCUUUCAAAUAGGCACAAAAAUAAGUAAGUUAUCUGAUAGGAAACUAGAAUAAUACGGCUGAGGAGACCUUGAAAAAUGUAGCUUAGUCUUUUUAAAGCAUAAGAAGGAAGAAAUAAUUUCAACAUAUGUGUGAUGUUUUGACAUCUUAAAGCUAGACAUAUGAAUGAAAAAAUAUGUACAAUGAAAAUUUUCAGGAAUUAUUUCCUACUCUUAAGUUAACACUAAAUGUGGAAAUAAAUGCCAAGCCAAUAUUAGCAAGGGAUUUACCAGAGGAAAUAUGUAAUAUAAUGAGAUAUCUUGGGAAAUUUUAAGAAUAGCCAAAUAACCAACUAGUUAACAUGAGGGCAGGUUUACCUUUGUCCUUGUAAUUUUUGUGGAAUAUCUUUUAUCUGUUGUUGUUGACUUAUUCUGUUGAUACAAAUAGGUGAUAAAAAGUAUUAUUUUUUUUACCUUUGCUUUAGCUUAAUUUUUGCCUUUCAAUCCUUUUGCAAUUUGACCAAAUUUGUGUUUAUUAUAGUGUGCAAAAGGAAACCAAAUGUUAGACCUUUAUACUUUUAAAAGAUGUAGCAUAUAUAGAAAAGUCAGUAUCUUUCAUCCUAAGUUUCUUUAAUACAAAUAUCAAGUUUAGGGUUUUCUCUGUGUAAAUGAUUGGAUAUUGGAUUGGCAUUCAGAUGUGGUUAGGCAUUGCUAUAAAAAUUGAGAAUUGAGCCUCUUAAGACACAAAUAUAUUUGAAGUUUAAUGUAAAUUUAAGCAUAAAUUGACAGUAAAUUUAUAAUCGCCUACCAGAGGUAUAAUUUGACCCAUAAAAAAAGAAUAAAGAAGAUUAGAAACAUUAAAUGAAGAUUAUCCUUUUUAGUCUAGUAUUAGUAAUUAUAAAAAUAACAAAUGAUACGGUAAGUUCUACAUUAAUGUAAUAGAAUACAGCUUUCUUUUUAUUAUCAACAAGGCAAAAGUAAUAAAUUACAUUUUAAAAAGAUCUGCAUGGACUUCUGAGCCAAGCUUGUAAAAUUUGCAGUGUUUUUGAUGUAUAAAAAUAGUGGAUUCAUGAGAAUAAAAUGAAGAUACUACUUUAAAUUACUAUAUUUCAUAAAUAAUUUACUUUGCUACCAUUUUCUGCUUAAGAGCCAGAGUGAUAAAUGCUUAAAUAUUUGUUUUUAUUUUAGCAUUUUGAAUCUUGAACCAGAAAAAUCACCUGAUCAAGUUGGUGAUUGGGUUGCAUUGCAUUUGUUAGUUAUAGUAAUAACUGUUUAAAAAAUUACCCGAAGUUCCACAGAAAUGAAAGAAACCAUGCCUGUAGUUAAUACAAGGUUGUUAUGAACUAUACAUGUCACUAAGAGGCUAGAUUAUAUGAAAUUAAUCUUGGAAGGCCGUUAGGCUUACCAUUAUACCAUCAACGUACACUGAAAUAGGUAAUUUUGUAUACAAAUUUUCUUUUAAGUUUAGUUUACUAUUACCCGAAGUUUCUUAUUUAAAAAUUUGGACUGUGGACAGCCAAUUAAUUUACCUUUUCUAUGAGAUUUAUACUUUUUUGAGAGGCUUAGGGGGAAAAAGAUAAUUUGAGGACCUCUCCAUCUCUUGCAUUGAUGAGAGGUGUGUGAUAGAGCAGAAAGUAUAACUCUGAUGCAGCAGUCAGGAGAGCUGGCUUCUAACCUAAAUUACCCUUGUGAUUUUGACGUUUUAUUCAUUGUGGCCCUUCUCUUAAUUUGUUUAAAGUAUUUGAAAUAUUCAAUUUCUUAUGAUACCUUUUUGGUCUCAAAUUGUGUGGUAAAAAUAAUAGAAUGUCUUGAUUCUCUUAAACUGCCUAAGUAUUUUUGUAGUUUUUGAAUUGCAAAUCAUGGUUGUUAUUUCUGUGGUGAAGUUAAUUUGAAUAACAAGACCUGGGUGAUAAUGUACCCAGCUUUCCUAAUUUUAGGCAUUCCAUAAUAUUAAUAAAUAGUAUAAAGCAGACAUAAUGGAAAGUUAAUCUUAAAAAGCAGUUAAGGUGUGAAAUUGUCUUUAAAAAACAAAGAUUUAGAAGGCUACAAUAAAAACAUUGUUUGAAUUUUUGCCUAGUUAUUUUAUUAAAUAAUUUAAAGAUUAGUGUAUUUAAGGUAAUUUGCACCUGACCAUCUGAUUAUAAAUGGUGAUUUAUAAUUUACAUGCUUGACAUAAUCUUUUUAAGAAGUUUCUAUUCUUCAAUGAUAAAUAUACCUCAUUUACCUUUUCCCUUACAGAUCGAGUGGCUCAAAACAGACAGUUUUCAUAUUGGCUGUUAGUGCUGAAUAUAGAUAAUUUUUAAAAUUUAAAUUCAAGGAUACUCUCAACUUUCUAAAGCAAAAACUGACUUGAUUUACGUAACAUUCAAGUAGCAUGUUUCUUACCGUUUGAUAAAGUUUUAUACAUUGUAUAAAGCUAGAUCCCUGUUUUAAAAGAUAGUUCUUUGUUUUUUGAAACUAUUCCAUUUAUUUGAAAUUGAGUAUUUCCUAAGCAAGCAAUUAUAUCCUUAAUGUGAUAGAGUCAUUUCAAUUUAGGUUAUUAAGCUAGAUAUUUUGCUUAACAUUAAUGGUUUGUGAGUUGUGAUGUUUUCUUAUAUAACUGUUAAUGAAUUUAUCACUACCUUAUUUUUGUGGAAGAUUUCUUAUAUUUCACAGUACUCUCAGGUUUAAUUCUUAAUUUAAAUGUAAAAAUUGUUUUAGGGACUUUAAAAGGUGACAAAAUCAGGAGUUCCCAUCGUGGUGCAGCAGAAACAAUCCAGCUAGGAACCAAGAGGUUUUGGGUUCGGAUCCCUGCUCUGUGGGUUAAGGAUCUGGCAUUACCAUGAGCUGUGGUGUAGGUUGCAGAUGUUCAGACUUGGCGUUGCUGUGGCUGCUGUGGCAUAGGCUGGCAGCUUGGAUUGGAUCCCUAGCCUGGGAACCUCCAUAUGCUGUGGGUGCAGCCCCCCCCCAAAAAAAGGUGACAAAAUAAAAUAUUCUUAGAUGCACAAAUGGGCUAGUAAUGGUAGGACUUGAUUCAGGCCAUCUUGUCUUUUAUUAUGACAAGCAAUCAAAAUUGUUAUUUGCAUUAUAGCUAUAAUUUCAUACUAAAUGAGGAUCUUUGAUACUGCAAAAUAUUAAAAAUAGGUAGGCAUGUGAGCAAAAUUAUCAACUUUGAUAGUUUGCUUAAUGUGAACUUGGUUUACCUCCCCCUUAAAAGGAGGGCUGAGUGGGCCGAGUACUGCUUUGUCAGUGUUUGGAAAGGAAAUUGUAUGGCAGGUUAAAUGGGUGUCAGUAAUCUUUGUGGUGGUACAAGAUGUGACCCAGGUCAUCUUCUGUUUUUGGUGGACUGAGCACCUUGAGCCCUAAUACUUGUACUGGUAGGUAGCCUUUUUUUCCUUUUUUUCUUUUUUUUAAAUUAGAGUACAGUUGAUUUACAAGUAGGUAGCUUUUUUGUAAGCAGGUUCUCAGACUGAUGUGAUAGAUUUCCCUCAGACUUUGCUUUCACCCAACAUUCCUUAGGUCAUUUCCACUCUUCUCUUGGGGUUUAUAUCAAUUUAUUUUACUUGGCUGAUUUAGAAUUUGUCUUUGUUCACAAACUUUUCUUUAUAAAGUCAGAUUAAAUUUGGAAGUUUAAGAAUAAAUAAUGCUGUGUUUCUUGUAAAUUGUUUCAUUUAUUAACUUCUUGGGAGGAUAUUUUAGCAUGUUGCUCUUAAAAGUAAUUUUGAAGCAGAUCUUUGCAAUAUUUCUUGGUUGUGAUUAGUCAAAAUGAUUAAAGGGAUUUAGAUUUGGUAAGAUAAUCAGGAAGUUGGCUUUAAAAUUUGAAAAUUGGAAACCUUAGUCAUGGAAAAGCAUUUGGGUAAGCAUAGUUUUAGAUUAAGUCCUAAACUUUGGCUUUCUAAAAAUCCUUACAUUGCUACACUUAAAUAGUGAACUUUUAAACAAAGCUUUUUGGGUAGUUCUAGCUAUUGUGAUUAUUAUGAUCAACUUAGGAGCAGGAGAGACUGAAAAAAGUGUAUACCUAUGUUCUCAAAAAUGUAUUUGAGAUGUAGGAAACAUCUUUCACAUGAGGUAUUUCAGUCUAACUAGUGAACUAACUAGUGAAGACUAUGGAUGUAUCCUGAUCAAGCAAAUAUUUUUGGGAAGGGUUAGUAUUGAGUAGGUCAUUGUAAGUAGUAGUACAAAAAGCUUGACAUUUUAAGAUUUCGAUCCUAGAACAGUGUUGAUUAGAGUACAUGAUAAUGUGAAAUAAUAUGGUAAUAUUAAGGAGUGAGUAAUACGGCCUUGCCAGGUUGGUAAUGGAAGUUUUCCUUUAGAAGUCUUAAAAGUAGAUUAGAUGAAAGACUAGAAAAUAAAGUAAUUCUGUGCUGUUAAGGAGUGAUAUUGGCUUUUAUAUUAAUCAGCUACCUCUCAGCUGCCCAUUAGAUCUACCUAAAGAGCCCAGACUUUACUAGGGAGUUCUUGGAGCAUGAGAAAUGUUUUUACUCUACAGGUGAGCCUUCUGAACAGUCAAAUUUAAGAUCCUCUGGAUUAGAACUUUGUUGUUUUGUUUUGUUUUGUUUUGUUUUGGAUUAGAACUUUUGGCUACAUUUAUAAAUGCACAUAUGUCUUGGUCUUUCGGAGAGUGAUCCUGAUAAGGUGUUGAAAUUUCCAAAUCUAUUUUUGUCUUUUUUGUAUGUGUACAAUUAUAUUCUUUUUGUUUUCUGCAGCAAUAUGAAUCCUGAGGCUGAAUUGUCUAAGGGGCCUGUACAGCGAAAUAGAUGUAAGUUUUACUCAAUUUACAUGUUUAAUUUGUUUUUUACUUUUACAUGUGACUUUGGAAAUUCUGAGUAAUUGAGUCAGAGUCUCUAAAAAUGUAGAAGAAUUUAGUGAAGUUCCAAGCAGUACAGAUAUAAAUCAACAUAGAUGUAUGUGGCUUAUUAUUAAAAUUUUGGUUAUUAUUCCAACCUCUUUUCCUUUCUUUACUUAAAGAGAGGUAUAAAUGGAUGGAAGGAAACUCACAUUUGAACAUUCUUCUAAUACUGCACCCUAGCUGUUGGUAAGCUCCCCAUUUUUAUAAAUAAAGUUUUAUUGGAACACAGCUAAGCUCUUUCAUUUACAUAUUAGCUGUGUCUGCUUUCUGACUACAGCUGCAGAGAGUAGAUUUAGCUAAUGGCCACAAACCCUAACAUAUUUAGUUAUUUAGUAUUUUAACCUGUAAGGAAAUCUUGCCUAUCCUUUCCCUAGAUUCAUCCUUUUUGUCAACUUUAUGUAGAACUCAAAAGCACUUGGAUUCUCUUAAUAAUGGGGGUGUACCUUUUACUUUGUUAGUAUUUCAUUGUUAGAAUUCAAAUAACAUAAGUAAUCAUGAGCUUGGCUUAAACUCCAAAGCCCAACAAAGGUUCUUUCACACCAGCAUUAUGCUUUAAUAUUAGAAGAUUUGGGGAGUUCCCGGUGUGGCACAGUGGAAAUGAAUCAACUAGUAUAGUAUCCAUGAGGAUUUGGGUUCUAUCCCCGGCCUCACUCAGUGGAUUAAGGAUUUGGAGUUGCUGUGAGCUGUGGUGUAGGCCAGCAGCUGCAGCUCUGAUUCGACCCCUAGUCUAGGAACUUCCUUAUGACACAGGUAUGGCC
RNAcentral lists this long non-coding RNA (6291 nucleotides) under Sus scrofa (pig). Its description in RNAcentral is "lncRNA (ENSSSCG00055009447.1)". Lineage: Eukaryota; Metazoa; Chordata; Mammalia; Artiodactyla; Suidae. The record is from RNAcentral.